ACCUGCUAGUGACAUCAGCAUCAUCUACACACCUGCUAGUGACAUCAGCAUCAUCUACUCACUUGCUAGUGACGUCAUGCUCCUCCUCACCUACUAGUGACACCAUGCUUCUCUUCACCUGUUAGUAACUUGUCUGCUUUGUGAUAAGCAAAUUUUGCUAUCUUCCAAUUCUGAACACAUCAGAAAUCACCAACCUCUCCUGACAUAUCUUUCCAGUUUGGGUUUUGCAUGGUCCCCGAUGAACUCAACGUGGGAUGCCUUUCCGAUUUCUUUCACAUCAGGGCACUUAACCUCUACCAGGCCACAGAGAUGUUCUUCAUUUGGGUCCACCACUUUGCCAUCUGCACCAAGGUGUGGAGCAUCAGGGUGGAUGAUGAGACCAGAUGGAAGAACGUUAACGUCAAAGGUCUCCUCAUAGCGGUGAAGAACCUCUGGCUCA
Carassius auratus (goldfish) is the source of this 439-nucleotide long non-coding RNA. RefSeq lists it as uncharacterized. The record is from RefSeq and is a predicted model, not a curated record. NCBI's taxonomy places the organism in Eukaryota, Metazoa, Chordata, Actinopteri, Cypriniformes, Cyprinidae. The transcript has 3 exons.